This 446-nucleotide ribosomal RNA is filed under the name uncultured bacterium. Its description in RNAcentral is "bacterial SSU rRNA". It matches the Rfam family "Bacterial small subunit ribosomal RNA", at positions 329 to 792 of the family's 1533-position model. The record is from RNAcentral.
GUCCAGACUCCUACGGGAGGCAGCAGUGGGGAAUAUUGCACAAUGGGGGAAACCCUGAUGCAGCGACGCCGCGUGAGUGAAGAAGUAUUUCGGUAUGUAAAGCUCUAUCAGCAGGGAAGAAAAUGACGGUACCUGACUAAGAAGCCCCGGCUAACUACGUGCCAGCAGCCGCGGUAAUACGUAGGGGGCAAGCGUUAUCCGGAUUUACUGGGUGUAAAGGGAGCGUAGACGGUGAUGCAAGUCAGAAGUGAAAGCCCGGGGCUCAACUCCGGGACUGCUUUUGAAACUGUGUGACUGGAGUGCAGGAGAGGUAAGCGGAAUUCCUGGUGUAGCGGUGAAAUGCUUAGAUAUCAGGAGGAACAUCGGUGGCGUAAGCGCUUUACUGGGCCGUAAUUGACGCUGAGGAACGAAAGCCAGGGUAGCAAAUGGGAUUAGAUACCCUUGUA